GUCUAUGGCCAUACCACCCUGAACAUGCCUGAUUUCGUCUGAUCUCAGAAGCUAAGCAGGGUUGGGCCUAGUUAGUACUUGGAUUGGAGAAAAUUACAUUGAGGUCCAAGAGCAAUAUGAU
Ribosomal RNA from Echinops telfairi (small Madagascar hedgehog), 121 nucleotides. The record is from Ensembl. Lineage: Eukaryota; Metazoa; Chordata; Mammalia; Afrosoricida; Tenrecidae.